This 889-nucleotide ribosomal RNA is filed under the name uncultured bacterium. RNAcentral's name for it is "bacterial SSU rRNA". It matches the Rfam family "Bacterial small subunit ribosomal RNA", at positions 8 to 916 of the family's 1533-position model. The record is from RNAcentral.
AGAGUUUGAUCAUGGCUCAGGACGAACGCUGGCGGCGCGCCUUACGCAUGCAAGUCGAACGGGUCCCGGUUUCGGCCGGGGCGAGUGGCAGACGGGUGAGUAACUCGUAAGCGACCUGCCCACCGGUGGGGAAUAACUCUCCGAAAGGAGAGCUAAUACCGCAUACGAUCUCCGGGCGACCGGAGAGGAAAGCCUAGAGAUAGGCGCUGGUGGAGGGGCUUGCGGCCCAUCAGCUAGUUGGCGAGGUAACGGCUCACCAAGGCGACGACGGGUAGCUGGUCUGAGAGGACGGCCAGCCACAAGGGCACUGAGACACGGGCCCUACUCCUACGGGAGGCAGCAGCGAGGAAUCUUGGUCAAUGGGGGCAACCCUGAACCAGCGACGCCGCGUGGGGGACGAAGGCCCUUGGGUCGUAAACCCCUUUUGCCGGGGACGAUAAUGACGGUACCCGGCGAAUAAGCCACGGCUAACUACGUGCCAGCAGCCGCGGUAAUACGUAGGUGGCGAGCGUUGUCCGGAUUUACUGGGCGUAAAGCGCGCGUAGGCGGCCGGAACAGUCCCCCGUGAAAGGGUGCGGCCCAACCGCACCAGUGCGGGAGAUACUCUCCGGCUUGAGGGCAGCAGAGGUUGGUGGAAUUCCCGGUGGAGUGGUGAAAUGCGUAGAUAUCGGGAGGAACACCAGAGGCGAAGGCGGCCAACUGGGCUGUCCCUGACGCUGAGGCGCGAAAGCGUGGGGAGCGAACCGGAUUAGAUACCCGGGUAGUCCACGCCCUAAACGGUGGCAACUAGGUGUGGGGGGGUAUCGACCCCCUCCGUGCCGCAGCUAACGCGUUAAGUUGCCCGCCUGGGAACUACGGCCGCAAGGUUAAAACUCAAAGGAAUUGACGG